AGUGGAUGGGGAGCAACCUAGUUGUGCGUGUGUAAAGGUAGUGCCAAGAAAAGCGAUGAUCAUGUUGAAAAUCAAUUCCCGGUACCCGAAACCGACACAGGUGGGCAAGUAGAGAAUACUAAGGGGCGCGAGGUAACUCUCUCCAAGGAACUCGGCAAAAUGACCCCGUAACUUAGGGAGAAGGGGUGCCACCGAGAGGUGGUCGCAGUGAAGAGGCCCAGGCGACUGUUUAGCAAAAACAUAGGUCUCUGCAAACUCGAAAGAGGAGGUAUAGGGGCUGACGCCUGCCCAGUGCCGGAAGGUUAAAGAAGUUGGUCAGUCUUAGGAUGAAGCUAGCGACUGAAGCCCCGGUGAACGGCGGCCGUAACUAUAACGGUCCUAAGGUAGCGAAAUUCCUUGUCGGGUAAGUUCCGACCCGCACGAAAGGCGUAACGAUCUGGGCGCUGUCUCGGAGAGAGGCUCGGCGAAAUAGGAUUGUCUGUGAAGAUACGGACUACCUGCAUUUGGACAGAAAGACCCUAUGAAGCUUUACUAUAGCUUGGAAUUGUGUUCGGGCUUCCUGUGCGCAGGAUAGGUGGGAGGCGUAGAAGGUAUUCUUGUGGGGAUACUGGAGCCAACGGUGAGAUACCACUCUCAGGAGGCUAGAAUUCUAACUUAAUUAAGGACAGUUUCAGGUGGGUAGUUUGACUGGGGCGGUCGCCUCCAAAAAGGUAACGGAGGCGUACAAAGGUUCCCUCAGACUGGUUGGAAAUCAGUCGAAGAGUGCAAAGGCAGAAGGGAGCUUGACUGCGAGAAGUACAGUUCGAGCAGGGUGGAAACACGGUCUUAGUGAUCCGACGGUGCUGUGUGGAAGGGCCGUCGCUCAACGGAUAAAAGUUACUCUAGGAUAACAGGCUGAUCUCCCCCAAGAGUUCACAUCGACGGGGAGGUUUGGCACCUCGAUGUCGGCUCAUCGCAACCUGGGGCGGAAGUACGUCCCAAGGGUUGGGCUGUUCGCCCAUUAAAGCGGUACGUGUGCUGGGUUCAGAACGUCGUGAGACAGUUCGGUCCAUAUCCGAUGUAGGCGUGAGAAUAUUGAGAGGAGCCUUCCUUAGUACGAGAGGACCGGGAAGGACGCACCGCUGGUGUACCUGUUAUGAUGCCAAUUGUAAACGCAGGGUAGCCAAGUGCGGAGAGGAUAACCGCUGAAAGCAUCUAAGUGGGAAGCCCACCUCAAGAUGAGUAUUCUGGUGUAAGGUCACGGGAAGACGACCCGUAAAUAGGCACGAGGUGGAAGUGCAGAGAUGUAUGAAGCCGAAGUGUACUAAUAGACCGUCGGCUUGA
RNAcentral lists this ribosomal RNA (1323 nucleotides) under metagenome. RNAcentral's name for it is "bacterial LSU rRNA". It matches the Rfam family "Bacterial large subunit ribosomal RNA", at positions 1561 to 2925 of the family's 2925-position model. The record is from RNAcentral.